CAGCAGCCGCGGGAAUACGAAGGGGGCUAGCGUUGUUCGGAAUUACUGGGCGUAAAGCGCACGUAGGCGGAUAUUUAAGUCAGGGGUGAAAUCCCAGAGCUCAACUCUGGAACUGCCUUUGAUACUGGGUAUCUUGAGUAUGGAAGAGGUGAGUGGAAUUCCGAGUGUAGAGGUGAAAUUCGUAGAUAUUCGGAGGAACACCAGUGGCGAAGGCGGCUCACUGGUCCAUUACUGACGCUGAGGUGCGAAAGCGUGGGGAGCAAACAGGAUUAGAUACCCCAGUAGUCCCUGUCUCUUAUAA
RNAcentral lists this ribosomal RNA (301 nucleotides) under uncultured bacterium. RNAcentral's name for it is "partial 16S ribosomal RNA". It matches the Rfam family "Bacterial small subunit ribosomal RNA", at positions 509 to 809 of the family's 1533-position model. The record is from RNAcentral.